AGGCAAGAGUGCUAAAUAUAAAGAUUUGGCAAUCCUCCCCCUUGAGCUAGUGUUUAGGUUUGAGUUAGGCCCUGUCCAUUUUUUGUAUUGGUAUCAAAGCCAACCCUUGUCUUGAUGGGGAGGCCACCAACAAAUGUUUAUGCCUGCAAACUUUAUAUUCCAAAUGUCCAUGUCUAGACGUGAGGAGUUGUAUUAUUACACGUUUUGGGAUAAAGUAGGAAGUCUAUACAAGGACUUGGCCAAUCGUCCCCCAUUAAUAUAGUUUUAGGGGUUGAGUUAGGUUCUGUCUAUUUUCUCUACAUAGACAUUGGCGGGUAUAGGAGUUCAAGUGAAUAAAGCAUACAGUUUGCUGCUAGAAAUCUCUCAUAUAUGACAAAAAUCAAUACAAGCACCAACUUAGAGGGUGACUUUUAAUUAAAAUCAAUUGUGGUGGGAUUUUUGAGUGGCUAUAUGAAGUAAAGGAAAAUGAUAAAAGGGAUCCAAUGUAUGAUAAAGUCCUCUUUUAUAUUAUUUAUAAAAUUAAUUAUUGGAAUUUCAAAAGUCAUUUUGUCUUAAAUUAAAAUUGCACCUAUUAUUUAUAAUAAAAAUAAACACUAAAUGAGAUAUAACUCAAAAGUUUCCAAUAAUUUAUAUUAACAUUACUAAGGAUCAUAGCUUAUUAAAUAACUUUAACACGUGAAAAUACUGCAAUGUCACAUAAUAUAAUAAUAAAAAAAGACUCUCCACCUGGUAACUUUUUACUGAUCCUUUUCCACAGCUUAGCUUUAUAAUAUUUGUAUAAAUAGAUAUAGAGAUAUGUGUUCUUAAACUUGCUGUGACUCUGUAAAAUAUAGAAAAAAUAGAGAUUUCUUGAAAGAAGUAAAAGAAAGGAAUACAAAUAACAUGUUAUGUACUCACAGAGAAUACUAAUUCACACACAAUCAAAAUCAGGCAGAUCACUGCAUUCCUACAAUAUUUGCUUUGAUGAGUCUAUUCAGUUCUUCCUUGGCUAUUGACAUGCCACUGCCGUAGGAUGGCUAUAGAAGAUCCAAAUUCACGCUGAUUGAGCUAAAAGACUUGAAAGUGAUCUUCCAGCUUUCAUCAAUACCUAAGACCAUAAGAAGUCCAGCAUAAAUGAUUUCCCUCUUUAUUUCAACCAUCUGGCUAGAAUUUGAACUUUUGGUGUUCAGAAUUUCUUUUUCAACUUACUAGCUUUUUGA
Molecule: unclassified non-coding RNA, 1199 nt
Filed under: Hevea brasiliensis (rubber tree)
Lineage: Eukaryota; Viridiplantae; Streptophyta; Magnoliopsida; Malpighiales; Euphorbiaceae
Source: RNAcentral